GAUGAACGCUGGCGGCGUGCUUAACACAUGCAAGUCGAACGAUGAAGCCCAGCUUGCUGGGUGGAUUAGUGGCGAACGGGUGAGUAACACGUGAGUAACCUGCCCUUAACUCUGGGAUAAGCCUGGUAAACUGGGUCUAAUACCGGAUAGGAGCGCCUACCGCAUGGUGGGUGUUGGAAAGAUUUAUCGGUUUUGGAUGGACUCGCGGCCUAUCAGCUUGUUGGUGAGGUAAUGGCUCACCAAGGCGACGACGGGUAGCCGGCCUGAGAGGGUGACCGGCCACACUGGGACUGAGACACGGCCCAGACUCCUACGGGAGGCAGCAGUGGGGAAUAUUGCACAAUGGGCGAAAGCCUGAUGCAGCGACGCUGCGUGAGGGAUGACGGCCUUCGGGUUGUAAACCUCUUUCAGUAGGGAAGAAGCGAAAGUGACGGUACCUGCAGAAGAAGCACCGGCUAACUACGUG
Molecule: ribosomal RNA, 466 nt
Filed under: uncultured bacterium
Lineage: Bacteria
Description: partial 16S ribosomal RNA
Rfam family: Bacterial small subunit ribosomal RNA
Source: RNAcentral